GCCCAGAUCGCAUAAUGGAAUUGCGGAGGAUUGCUAAUCCUCUUUCACGCAAGUGAUGCCCAGGUUCGAUUCCUGGUCUGGGCG
RNAcentral lists this transfer RNA (84 nucleotides) under Candidatus Pacearchaeota archaeon. RNAcentral describes it as "tRNA-Ser". It matches the Rfam family "tRNA". From Rfam's summary of the family: Transfer RNA (tRNA) molecules are approximately 80 nucleotides in length. Their secondary structure includes four short double-helical elements and three loops (D, anti-codon, and T loops). The record is from RNAcentral. Lineage: Archaea; Nanobdellati.